Molecule: long non-coding RNA, 492 nt
Filed under: Elaeis guineensis (African oil palm)
Lineage: Eukaryota; Viridiplantae; Streptophyta; Magnoliopsida; Arecales; Arecaceae
Description: long non-coding RNA (EGUI_LNC008219)
Source: RNAcentral
CCCUGACAUCCUUCCUGGUCGAUGGGUCAAAAAUAAGCCCAAAUGAUGCAAUAGACUCAAGAGUCUAUAAAUUUCGUAUAGGUGCUGCCCUGAUCAGCGCACACUUGGUGAUAUAUUUUCUCCAGGGUGAGACCGAGUUAUCCUGUUUCAUUGUUCCAAGACUGCAUUGCUGGUGGCGCUUUCUUGCAGGUGCUGUCAGGUGAUCUAGAGGUGAGGUAAGUUUGUUCUUACUCUUUUAUAGUUAAGAAAGAGACUAGGAUUGUUGGAAAUUCAGUGUAGAAUACUCCUGUGCAGUUAUAUGGCUUCAAGAUAGAUCUGGCGCUACAUGAUUUUUACCUAUAUAAUACUUGGUUGUGAACCAUGUAGCUCAUUAUAUAAUUCGUUGAUUCUCCCUUUUUUUGAAAGAAACCAUUCUUGCUUUCUCAAUUAAAGCUCAAUUUCUUGAAUAUACCAGAAAGAAAAAUUAUCCUAUCAAGCUUUUAACAGAUCUUG